This 372-nucleotide ribosomal RNA is filed under the name Triticum aestivum (bread wheat). RNAcentral describes it as "partial small subunit ribosomal RNA". The record is from RNAcentral. Lineage: Eukaryota; Viridiplantae; Streptophyta; Magnoliopsida; Poales; Poaceae.
AUGUCAUUUGGAUACUUCUCUUCAACUCCAAAGUAUUUUUAUACAAUACAAAUAGUUGAAGUUAAUUUUACGAAAGAAAAAAGGCGGAUUAUGGGAGUAACAAAGAAACCAGACUUAAAUGAUCCUGUAUUAAGAGCUAAAUUAGCUAAAGGGAUGGGACAUAAUUAUUACGGGGAACCCGCACGGCCCAACGAUCUUUUAUAUAUUUUUCCAGUAGUAAUUCUAGGUACUAUUGCAUGUAAUGUAGGUUUAGCGGUUCUCGAGCCAUCAAUGAUUGGUGAACCGGCAGAUCCGUUUGCAAUACCUUUUCUAGAGAAUGUCAAUAAAUUCCAAAAUCCAUUUCGCCGCCCAGUAGCUACGACCUUUUUUUAA